This 253-nucleotide ribosomal RNA is filed under the name uncultured bacterium. RNAcentral describes it as "partial 16S ribosomal RNA". It matches the Rfam family "Bacterial small subunit ribosomal RNA", at positions 524 to 776 of the family's 1533-position model. The record is from RNAcentral.
UACGUAGGGUGCAAGCGUUGUCCGGAAUUAUUGGGCGUAAAGAGCUCGUAGGCGGUUCGUCGCGUCGGCUGUGAAAUCCCGAGGCUCAACCUCGGGUCUGCAGUCGAUACGGGCGGACUGGAGUUCGGCAGGGGAGACUGGAAUUCCUGGUGUAGCGGUGAAAUGCGCAGAUAUCAGGAAGAACACCCGUGGCUAAGGCGGCUCUCUAGUACGGUACUGACGCUGAGACGCGAAAGCGUGGGGAGCGAACAGG